UCAGUUCCUCUUCCAUCUCUCUCUGCUGAGACUUGAGAACUCUGCUAGGGCACACUGGACUUUCUCCUUGAGCUAGCUGGAAUCCUUUCGUUUUCAAUUUUUGUGCUGCAACUCGCUACUGUAGUUCCUGAAGCUGUAGUCCUCCUUAGUUGUGGGCUUGUUUCUUUUAGCGUCCAAAAAGUGGGAGCAGAUGGGAAGCACGUUGAAGGUGGACCUGAUGGUAACAGUGGUGCAGCGUAGAGGGUCCUGUCACCUCUGGCUCUUGGGGAGCAUUUUUAUGGCAUCAGUGCCUAUUGUUUUUCCUAGCUCUAGAGGUUUUGUUUUGUG
Vigna unguiculata (cowpea) is the source of this 327-nucleotide long non-coding RNA. RefSeq lists it as uncharacterized. Lineage: Eukaryota; Viridiplantae; Streptophyta; Magnoliopsida; Fabales; Fabaceae. The record is from RefSeq and is a predicted model, not a curated record.